UACGUAGGGUGCAAGCGUUGUCCGGAAUUAUUGGGCGUAAAGAGCUCGUAGGCGGUCUGUCGCGUCUGCUGUGAAAACUCAGGGUUUAACCCUGAGCUUGCAGUGGGUACGGGCAGACUAGAGUGUGGUAGGGGAGACUGGAAUUCCUGGUGUAGCGGUGAAAUGCGCAGAUAUCAGGAGGAACACCGAUGGCGAAGGCAGGUCUCUGGGCCACUACUGACGCUGAGAAGCGAAAGCAUGGGGAGCGAACAGG
Molecule: ribosomal RNA, 253 nt
Filed under: uncultured bacterium
Lineage: Bacteria
Description: partial 16S ribosomal RNA
Rfam family: Bacterial small subunit ribosomal RNA
Source: RNAcentral